CUUCAUUUCUCUGCUUUGACAAAUGCCCACAAUCUGAUCAGCAGAAAGGUUAUAACAUUUGAAAAAGAAAUGCGUUAUUUUGGUUUUUUAAGUACAACAAUUUUCAUUUGGAGAAAUGGUCUAAAGGGUAUUGGUGUUUGGCUGAAUUCAUGGAAUUUUCUCGCUAAUUUGGGAUUUAUUCUCAAUUUCAAGAUCAUUGUGGAUAUUUCAGAAAUUAAUGAAAUAUAU
Molecule: long non-coding RNA, 228 nt
Filed under: Vitis vinifera (wine grape)
Lineage: Eukaryota; Viridiplantae; Streptophyta; Magnoliopsida; Vitales; Vitaceae
Description: long non-coding RNA (VVIN_LNC006820)
Source: RNAcentral